UACGUAGGGUGCGAGCGUUAAUCGGAAUUACUGGGCGUAAAGCGUGCGCAGGCGGUUUUGUAAGACAGGUGUGAAAUCCCCGGGCUUAACCUGGGAACUGCAUUUGUGACUGCAAGGCUAGAGUAUGGCAGAGGGGGGUAGAAUUCCACGUGUAGCAGUGAAAUGCGUAGAGAUGUGGAGGAAUACCGAUGGCGAAGGCAGCCCCCUGGGUCAAUACUGACGCUCAUGCACGAAAGCGUGGGGAGCAAACAGG
This 253-nucleotide ribosomal RNA is filed under the name uncultured bacterium. RNAcentral's name for it is "partial 16S ribosomal RNA". It matches the Rfam family "Bacterial small subunit ribosomal RNA", at positions 524 to 776 of the family's 1533-position model. The record is from RNAcentral.